Molecule: ribosomal RNA, 28 nt
Filed under: Hylodes meridionalis (Rio Grande tree toad)
Lineage: Eukaryota; Metazoa; Chordata; Amphibia; Anura; Hylodidae
Also listed under: 8 other names
Description: partial 12S ribosomal RNA
Source: RNAcentral
UAAGUAUACCGGAAGGUGUGCUUGGAAA